Molecule: non-coding RNA, 632 nt
Organism: Penaeus vannamei (Pacific white shrimp)
Lineage: Eukaryota; Metazoa; Arthropoda; Malacostraca; Decapoda; Penaeidae
Source: RefSeq, a predicted model, not a curated record
GUCCCGAUAACAAGUGGACGAAGAAGACUUGCGAUCCAUGUCCUGAAUCAAGACCUUUUAAAUGCAACACCUCGAGCAAAUGCAUCAAAGAACUGUUCCUGUGCGACGGCUACGCUGACUGUCCGAACAACGAAGACGAAGCCAAUGCCACGUGCUUCGUCUGCCCGUCUGCCAAGCCUCUCAGAUGUCCGUCCGGCGAGUGUAUAAGCGAGGCGUGGUUGUGUGACCUGGCGGCGGAGUGCAAAGACGGGUGGGAUGAGUCGAACUGCACGGUCUGUCCCGCCCAGACGCCCUUCAGAUGCAACGUUACAGGAAAAUGCCUGCCUUUAGUGUGGGUUUGUGACGGCGUGAGUGACUGUUCCACGACGCAAGAGCAGGACGACUCAGACGAGAGCUCCUGCGACCCGUGUCCCGACUUCAAGCCGAGAAAAUGCGCAGAUGGCUCGGCUUGCUACCCCGACAGCUGGCGGUGCAACGACGUGGACGACUGUGCAGAUGGUUCGGAUGAGAAUAGCUGCUUUGAGUAGAAUGAUGGGCGUGGGAGGGAGAGAGGAAUGGAGAAAAGAAGGGAGAAAAAACAACAGAAAACGGGAAAGAUGAUAAUGCAUCAUAGAAAACGGAUAGCGCAGGCG